AUGGGGAUGGGCCGGGAGCUGAGGCUCCGGCAUCGGUCAGAGCGCAGGGAGAGGACUGGGGUUGGCGGCGUGAACGCAGCCUGAAGGGGGUUAGUGCACCACGGCUAGCCGGGAG
Aethalodelphis obliquidens (Pacific white-sided dolphin) is the source of this 115-nucleotide long non-coding RNA. RefSeq lists it as uncharacterized. The transcript is spliced from 3 exons. The record is from RefSeq and is a predicted model, not a curated record. Lineage: Eukaryota; Metazoa; Chordata; Mammalia; Artiodactyla; Delphinidae.